Molecule: ribosomal RNA, 434 nt
Filed under: uncultured bacterium
Lineage: Bacteria
Description: bacterial SSU rRNA
Rfam family: Bacterial small subunit ribosomal RNA
Source: RNAcentral
GAGUUUGAUCGUGGCUCAGGACGAACGCUGGCGGCGUGCUUAACACAUGCAAGUCGAACGAAGAACUAGAGAUGAAUUCUUCGGAAGGAAUUUUUAGUUACUUAGUGGCGGACGGGUGAGUAACGCGUGAGCAACCUGCCCAUAAGAGGGGGAUAACAGCUGGAAACGGCUGCUAAUACCGCAUAAGACCACAUUGCCACAUGGCAGAGGGGUCAAAGAUUUAUCGCUUAUGGAUGGGCUCGCGUCUGAUUAGCUAGUUGGUAGGGUAACGGCCUACCAAGGCGACGAUCAGUAGCCGACCUGAGAGGGUGAUCGGCCACACUGGAACUGAGACACGGUCCAGACUCCUACGGGAGGCAGCAGUGGGGAAUAUUGGGCAAUGGGGGAAACCCUGACCCAGCAACGCCGCGUGAGGGAAGAAGGGCUUUCGAGUU